Molecule: ribosomal RNA, 468 nt
Filed under: uncultured bacterium
Lineage: Bacteria
Description: partial 16S ribosomal RNA
Rfam family: Bacterial small subunit ribosomal RNA
Source: RNAcentral
GACGAACGCUGGCGGCGUGCUUAACACAUGCAAGUCGAACGGAAAGGCCCUGCUUUUGUGGGGUGCUCGAGUGGCGAACGGAUGAGUAACACGUGAGUAACCUGCCCUUGACUUUGGGAUAACUUCAGGAAACUGGGGCUAAUACCGGAUAGGAGCUCCUGCUGCAUGGUGGGGGUUGGAAAGUUUCGGCGGUUGGGGAUGGACUCGCGGCUUAUCAGCUUGUUGGUGGGGUAGUGGCUUACCAAGGCUUUGACGGGUAGCCGGCCUGAGAGGGUGACCGGCCACAUUGGGACUGAGAUACGGACCAGACUCCUACGGGAGGCAGCAGUGGGGAAUAUUGCACAAUGGGCGGAAGCCUGAUGCAGCAACGCCGCGUGCGGGAUGACGGCCUUCGGGUUGUAAACCGCUUUCGCCUGUGACGAAGCGUGAGUGACGGUAAUGGGUAAAGAAGCACCGGCUAACUACGUG